GAAGUUAAGAAGGGCGCAUGGGGAAUGCCUAGGCUCUCAGAGGCGAGGAAGGACGCGAUAAGCUGCGAUAAGCUCCGGGGAUCGGCACAUACGACUCGAUCCGGAGGUCUCCGAAUGGGGCAACCCGGCUGGUUGAAGACCAGUCACCUAUUUAUAGGGGCGAACCCGGGGAACUGAAACAUCUAAGUACCCGGAGGAAGAGAAAAUAACAAUGAUUCCGCAAG
This 224-nucleotide ribosomal RNA is filed under the name Anophryoides haemophila. RNAcentral's name for it is "partial Bacterial large subunit ribosomal RNA". It matches the Rfam family "Bacterial large subunit ribosomal RNA", at positions 1 to 243 of the family's 2925-position model. The record is from RNAcentral. Lineage: Eukaryota; Ciliophora; Oligohymenophorea; Philasterida; Glauconematidae.